Molecule: ribosomal RNA, 279 nt
Filed under: uncultured bacterium
Lineage: Bacteria
Description: partial 16S ribosomal RNA
Rfam family: Bacterial small subunit ribosomal RNA
Source: RNAcentral
UGCCAGCAGCCGCGGUAAUACAGAGGGUGCAAGCGUUAAUCGGAAUGACUGGGCGUAAAGGGCGUGUAGGUGGAUAGAUAAGUUAUGUGUGAAAUAUCCGGGCUUAACCUGGAGGGGUCAUGUAAUACUGUCUAUCUAGAGUAGAGCAGAGGGAAGUAGAAUUUCCGGUGUAGCGGUGAAAUGCGUAGAGAUCGGAAGGAAUACCAGUGGCGAAGGCGGCUUCCUGGGCUCAUACUGACACUGAGGCGCGAAAGCGUGGGUAGCAAACAGGAUUAGAUA